Molecule: unclassified non-coding RNA, 263 nt
Filed under: Nectria sp. (in: ascomycete fungi)
Lineage: Eukaryota; Fungi; Ascomycota; Sordariomycetes; Hypocreales; Nectriaceae
Also listed under: 3 other names
Description: partial contains 5.8S ribosomal RNA, internal transcribed spacer 2, and large subunit ribosomal RNA
Rfam family: 5.8S ribosomal RNA (bases 1-52)
Source: RNAcentral
AACGCACAUUGCGCCCGCCAGUACUCUGGCGGGCAUGCCUGUUCGAGCGUCAUUUCAACCCUCAAGCCCCUUCGGGCUUGGUGUUGGGGAUCGGCCUGCGGCGUCUGACGCCGUGGCCGGCCCCGAAAUCUAGUGGCGGUCUCGCUGUAGUCCUCCUCUGCGUAGUAGCACACCUCGCACCGGAACUUAGCGCGGCCACGCCGUUAAACCCCAACUUUCUGAAGUUUGACCUCGGAUCAGGUAGGAAUACCCGCUGAACUUAA